This 684-nucleotide long non-coding RNA is filed under the name Ricinus communis (castor bean). Its description in RNAcentral is "long non-coding RNA (RCOM_LNC002255)". Lineage: Eukaryota; Viridiplantae; Streptophyta; Magnoliopsida; Malpighiales; Euphorbiaceae. The record is from RNAcentral.
AAAAAGAGAAGUAAUUCACAGUCUAUUAUAUAAGUGAGUUAAACUAAUGAUUAGAGGAUUAAAAUGUAAAGAAAAAAUAAUUAUUAGAAUGUAAAUUCCUUAAUAUAUGAAAUAAAAGUAUUUCUUAGACUUCAAACUCAUCUAACUAAAUGGGAUACUAUAAUGUUUUGCAAAAUAGUUGCCAGCUCUAAUUAUAAUUACAGGAUUAUUAAAGCUGUGCAGACAAAGCAAGGUGGGUCGUAUUCUAUUAACAGCAUGAGAACCUGCUGGUAGUUCCUGAAACCAUUAACAUUCAAGUCUUGAAUCUGAUAACCACCCACUUUGUACAAGCAGUUGCCGCCUUAAAUUUCUUGCAGUGCAGAGAUAGAAGGCCAAUAGUGCAGAACAUUAGGCAGCUUCUGCAAUCUAUUAGUUCAGAGAAUGGCAGACCGGAUAGUAAAUGCCACUCUGCAGAAAUAUAUGUUAGGCUCAUCCCAAAUUGCUGCCCAUCCAAUCCGAAGAACCCUUUUAUAAAAACCUUGCCAAUCUUUUAACUUGUUAGAAAAGAAUAAAGAUGAUACAAACUAUUUAAUGAAAUUGCUUCCACCUCUCAACCAAUUACUAAUGCCUUGGAACAUAAGUGCUCUACCAGCUUUGUAUCUCCCAACCCUCUCCAAACUCACCCCUUAUCUCCUAGGAUAAAUG